CCGUGUUGUUGAUCAAUCUUUGAAUAAAAAGGUUAAUACGUAUGUUUUUGAUAACAUGUAAAUAAACAUUUUCUUUUAUACCGUCAUAUACGUUCUAAAAAGUUAAAAUCAAAACGAAAGUGAAAGUGCUAUAGGCGCUAAGAACAAGGAAGAGAAGUCCCACAUUAGUGCUUCCGAAUGUGUUUGACGUCAGCCAAUGACCUUUGUUGGGUCAUCGUUAUCGGCUUCACAGACACAAAGAAUGAACACAUUUCAUUCACGAAAUAAUCAACAAACUAUACUGGACCUAAUGGAUUCGACAUGUACCAUUUGAAGAUUGAACAUAGAACUUUAAAUCUUUUAGCUUUUCACACAAAUACAUUGAGAAAUGGCGACAAAAUAUUGUUUCCAAAAACACAUAAUCCACGCUUUGUUCCUCAUACUGCUGUCAUGGGCUCAAGUAGGAUCAGCCGAAGCACACGAGGAAUCUCACAACGAAACAGAACGAUAUAAGAUUUUAUCAUUUGAUUUUGAAAGAGUAGAGCUACCAUAUGUGAUAUGUUUGUGGAUAUUAAUUGUCGCUUUAGCCAAAAUAGGUAAGCCACGUUACUAACCACUCCCCCAGUUAUUGAUCCCAAAGUCUUUUGGAUAUCAGAUUGUAAACUUAUCCCUUUUAGAAUUCUGUACCCAUUUUCCUUUUUUUAAGUUUUGAGUUCGUAGAUGGACUGCUGAUUUUGACCCCCAAAUUAAG
RNAcentral lists this long non-coding RNA (730 nucleotides) under Mytilus galloprovincialis (Mediterranean mussel). The record is from RNAcentral. Lineage: Eukaryota; Metazoa; Mollusca; Bivalvia; Mytilida; Mytilidae.